This 575-nucleotide ribosomal RNA is filed under the name uncultured bacterium. Its description in RNAcentral is "bacterial SSU rRNA". It matches the Rfam family "Bacterial small subunit ribosomal RNA", at positions 338 to 915 of the family's 1533-position model. The record is from RNAcentral.
CCUACGGGAGGCAGCAGUGAGGAAUAUUGGACAAUGGGCGCAAGCCUGAUCCAGCCAUGCCGCGUGCAGGAAGACGGUCCUAUGGAUUGUAAACUGCUUUUAUACAGGAAGAAACACCUCUACGUGUAGAGACUUGACGGUACUGUAUGAAUAAGCAUCGGCUAACUCCGUGCCAGCAGCCGCGGUAAUACGGAGGAUGCGAGCGUUAUCCGGAAUCAUUGGGUUUAAAGGGUCCGUAGGCGGUUUAAUAAGUCAGUGGUGAAAGCCCAUCGCUCAACGAUGGAACGGCCAUUGAUACUGUUAAACUUGAAUUAUUAGGAAGUAACUAGAAUAUGUAGUGUAGCGGUGAAAUGCUUAGAGAUUACAUGGAAUACCAAUUGCGAAGGCAGGUUACUACUAAUAUAUUGACGCUGAUGGACGAAAGCGUGGGGAGCGAACAGGAUUAGAUACCCUGGUAGUCCACGCCGUAAACGAUGGAUACUAGCUGUUCGGAGCAAUCUGAGUGGCUAAGCGAAAGUGAUAAGUAUCCCACCUGGGGAGUACGUUCGCAAGAAUGAAACUCAAAUGAAUUGAGG